This 301-nucleotide ribosomal RNA is filed under the name uncultured bacterium. RNAcentral's name for it is "partial 16S ribosomal RNA". It matches the Rfam family "Bacterial small subunit ribosomal RNA", at positions 509 to 807 of the family's 1533-position model. The record is from RNAcentral.
CAGUAGCCACGGGAAUACGAAGGGUGCAAGCGUUACUCGGAAUUACUGGGCGUAAAGCGUGCGUAGGUGGUGGUUUAAGUCCGUUGUGAAAGCCCUGGGCUCAACCUGGGAAUUGCAGUGGAUACUGGGUCACUAGAGUGUGGUAGAGGAUAGUGGAAUUUCCGGUGUAGCAGUGAAAUGCGUAGAGAUCGGAAGGAACAUCUGUGGCGAAGGCGACAUACUGGAUCAUUACUGACGCUGAGGCUCGAAAGCGUGGGGAGCAAACAGGAUUAGAUACCCCUGUAGUCCCUGUCUCUUAUAC